GGGUGCGAUCAUAAAGGCACUAAUGCACCGGAUCCCAUCAGAACUCUGCAAUUAAGCUUGCUUGGGCGAGAGUAGUACUAGGAUGGGUGACCUCCCGGGAAGUGCUCGUGUUGCACCCC
Ribosomal RNA from Brassica oleracea var. oleracea, 119 nucleotides. The record is from Rfam. NCBI's taxonomy places the organism in Eukaryota, Viridiplantae, Streptophyta, Magnoliopsida, Brassicales, Brassicaceae.